This 1055-nucleotide long non-coding RNA is filed under the name Numida meleagris (helmeted guineafowl). RNAcentral's name for it is "lncRNA (ENSNMEG00000016872.1)". Lineage: Eukaryota; Metazoa; Chordata; Aves; Galliformes; Numididae. The record is from RNAcentral.
UGUUCUCAAAGUACAGAGUAAUUAAUAUUAGAAAUGGGACUAAGUACAACUACCUUCUUCAUAGCUGACUCCUACCGUAUAGAAUCCACUUCUGGCUUACAAAGUUCCUGACCACAGAUGAGGGGACUAGGACAGUCUGCAGAGAAGGAUCCUAAUUGCUCUGUUCUAGCCAUGGUCAACUGACUACUAUAGGAGGAGGACACCAGGCAAGAGAGAAGUUUGGCUGGGCACAGAAAGACGAGAUAAUGGGCAAGUGUAGAAUCUGCACUGCUGGAAGGAAGAAGAAAGGAGGGCUUAAAUAUCCAUGCCAAAAUUUAGAAAUGGCGACAAUGCACUUCCUGAAGACUCCUCAUUCAUGAAACGUUCACUGCUCAUGAGGCCACUGGUUUUACAAGCAGUGAUUCAAAACCCGAGGCGCUUUAGGAGACAAUGAUGCACGAGCCAUGGCUAACACUGAGAAAAGCUGCUGAGAAUCUAUACUGAUUGUAUGGUGAACCACUCUGCUUCCUAACUGUGCCUCCCAGUCUGUCUGUGUCAGGUACACCUCAUUGCUGUGUCAGCUCCCCCCCCCCCCCCCCCCCAUUAAAAAUGAUCAUCUGUGAAGAUAGCCAAGAGGCUGUGUCCAUGUGCGAUGGCUGUGAGCAAAUGUGAACCUUUCCCCUGAGGUCAAGAAUCUUUGGAUAAAGCCUUUGGCAGCUGGGAGCUGGCUGUGACCACUGAUCACCCCUCUGCGGGUGGACAGGGCUCCCUUAAAAGCUGUCCCAGAGGGGACCAGAUCUCAGAGGAUCUUUGUCCUGUUUGGAUCUAGAGGCAAGAGGAUUGCAACAUGAUAUCUGUAACAAGACAGAAGUCAAAAAUGCAGAGAGCUGUGCAGUAUGAUUGCAGAGAGAAUUCAGUGCUGGUGGAAGUGACUGGAUUCACAGCAGUGGAAACAGAGAUGGAGACACCCUGUAUCAUGCAACAGCUGUCUGAAGGACUGCUGCAGGGCCAUGCACUGCCCUUCAUCUGCUCCCAGACAGGGCCAGAACCUGCUCAUAUCACCCCAUGGACCAGUU